ACGGAGGGUGCAAGCGUUGUCCGGAAUUACUGGGCGUAAAGCGCGUGUAGGCGGACUCAGAAGUCGGGUGUGAAAGCCCCGGGCUUAACUCGGGAAGUGCGCUCGAAACCAUGGGUCUUGAGAACGGGAGGGGAUCGGGGAAUUCGCAGUGUAGAGGUGAAAUGCUUAGAGAUUGGGAAGAACACCGGCGGCGAAGGCACCGAUCUGGACCAUUUCUGACGCUGAGACGCGAAAGCGUGGGUAGCAAACAG
Molecule: ribosomal RNA, 251 nt
Filed under: uncultured prokaryote
Description: partial 16S rRNA
Rfam family: Bacterial small subunit ribosomal RNA
Source: RNAcentral